CACAGCGCCCGUGUGCUGGAGGCGAGUUGGCUCCGGGUGGGGGAGGCUGGGGUUCCAAACCAGGGCAGGGGAAUGGUGGCCCUGCGUGGCUCGUGGACCUCUCUCAGGGACCCCUCUCAGCAGGGGCCGGAAAAGCAGGCCCACACCCAGUGGUCAUUGCAGGAACUUCACUUGAGCUGGUCUGCUUGUGAGCCUGUGGUUUGGAGAGGAGAAGACGCACUUCCCCAUGAGAAAAAGGUGGUCAUCCCCAUGGGCUCCACAGAUGAGGACACCGGCCCUCAGCUCUGCCCCCUCUCAGAAGCCUUCCUCACCUGGGGGUUCUGGGUGAAGGGAGCUCCCCGCCAGAGACUCAUGUGGGAUCGUGUGUGGACCGUAGAGCCACAGAGCGUCAUCUGUAAGCCAGGUGAAAUGCGCAACCUGCAGCCCCUCCCUCCUCAGACCUAUGAGUCACGAUCUGCGUUUUAGGGAGGCACAUGAACUUGUGAGAAGUGUGCUACCCCUACCCUCUGACCACUGCAUGAG
Molecule: long non-coding RNA, 522 nt
Filed under: Homo sapiens (human)
Lineage: Eukaryota; Metazoa; Chordata; Mammalia; Primates; Hominidae
Description: non-protein coding lnc-BCL11A-1:2
Source: RNAcentral